GACAGAGGGUGCAAACGUUGUUCGGAAUUACUGGGCGUAAAGCGCACGUAGGCGGCUUUGUAAGUUAGAGGUGAAAGCCUGGAGCUCAACUCCAGAACUGCCUUUAAGACUGCAUCGCUUGAAUCCUGGAGAGGUGAGUGGAAUUCCGAGUGUAGAGGUGAAAUUCGUAGAUAUUCGGAAGAACACCAGUGGCGAAGGCGGCUCACUGGACAGGUAUUGACGCUGAGGUGCGAAAGCGUGGGGAGCAAACAGGG
RNAcentral lists this ribosomal RNA (254 nucleotides) under uncultured bacterium. Its description in RNAcentral is "partial 16S ribosomal RNA". It matches the Rfam family "Bacterial small subunit ribosomal RNA", at positions 524 to 777 of the family's 1533-position model. The record is from RNAcentral.